AACGAACGCUGGCGGCAUGCCUAACACAUGCAAGUCGAACGAGACCUUCGGGUUUGGUGGCGCACGGGUGGGUAAAGCGUGGGAACAUGCCCUUAGGUUCGGAAUAACUCCUCGAAAUGGGUGCUAAUAACGGGUAAUGUUUUCGGACCAAAGAUUUAUCGCCUUUGGAUGGGCCCGAGUUGGUUUAGCUAGUUGGUAGGGUAAAAGCUUACCAAGGGGACGAUGCGUAGCUGGCUUGAGAGGAUGAUCAGCCACACUGGGACUGAGACACGGCCCAGACUCCUACGGAGGGCAGCAGUGGAGUAUAUUGGACGCGGAGCGAAAGCGUGGUCAAGCAGUGUCGCGUGAGUGGUGAUGGCCUUUGUAUUGUAAAGCUCUUUUACACGGGAUGAUAAUGACAGUACCGGGAGAAUAAGCUCCGGCUAACUCCGUG
This 433-nucleotide ribosomal RNA is filed under the name uncultured bacterium. Its description in RNAcentral is "partial 16S ribosomal RNA". It matches the Rfam family "Bacterial small subunit ribosomal RNA", at positions 29 to 507 of the family's 1533-position model. The record is from RNAcentral.